Long non-coding RNA from Saccostrea echinata, 318 nucleotides. RefSeq lists it as uncharacterized. The record is from RefSeq and is a predicted model, not a curated record. NCBI's taxonomy places the organism in Eukaryota, Metazoa, Mollusca, Bivalvia, Ostreida, Ostreidae. The transcript is spliced from 3 exons.
CCCAUCUCAUGUUUUCUCACGCACGCACAUUUUUCCCCACGGCGUGGCCACAAGUGAAGCUUUGGUCAGUCAAACGAAUAGAAUUGAUAACUGCUAAGCCAGAAUUCAGCAUCGCUAGACGGCUAUAUGUAAUCAACUUGUCACUCAGAGCCAGUUAGAGUUAUGUCGAGGGAUGUUACAACGUCGAAUAAUGAGCCAGGAAAAUAACUGAGUCGAGCUUGUUGGUCUGAAAUUCCCCCACAUAAGGAUUUUAUUUUGAAAUCAUAAGCUGCAUGAAAAUGAAUUUCUUCAGUAACUUGCAUUUAUAAAGAAAAUACU